This 2428-nucleotide long non-coding RNA is filed under the name Homo sapiens (human). RNAcentral describes it as "HSALNT0110092". The record is from RNAcentral. Lineage: Eukaryota; Metazoa; Chordata; Mammalia; Primates; Hominidae.
AUCCAAGCAAUAUUAGCUAAAGGGAGUACACAAAGAAGGACACCAUUUUUUCCCUCCCACUCCCCAUCUGUCGUGGAAAACACACAGGUUUUCCUCCACAGGUUGAAAAGAACCUUAUGUCCUUGGAGGACAGACUUACAGUGCAUUGCAACAACAGUGUGAACCUUCUUCCUACUCCUCAACCCACAGUCCUGUUUUGAAGGCUGCAUUCUGAGAAUAGGCUUCACCAUGAUGCUGUUGGAACAUAAGCUACCAUGUUAAACAAGCAUGGCAUGAGGCUGACUAAUCCUGGUGAACUGUGUGGUUAAAUAGCUGCUCCUUAGAAGCAGUAGUGAUUACAAGCCUUGUCCAGCACUACGAAUCAGAAUGUCUUCCCUCUUCUUUUGAAGACUCUGACCAAUGUGUGGUAGCAGCUUGUGAGUAGGAAGACGGAAGAAUCUCCAUCUCUUUUGGCAUCAUGGAACUGUCCUGCAUGGCUUACUUCCAGACUUUGUUAUAAACUGUCACAGUCCAAAUUCCCAAUAAAUGCCUUCUGGACUGAAUUCAGGUGGGAGAAAUAAAAGGAAAAUGCAAGCCGUGUUUAGGAAAUGAGCUAUCACACAAAAAUAAAACAGAAAAAGGAAAUAAAUUUUCCUGAGCAACUUCUCCUAACUUCAAUAUCCAGAGAGAAAUUAAGAAAAUAAGAGGAAAGAUGAAAGCCUAACAAGAUUUAAGAAGAAAGUUUUCCAUUAUUCAUUUAAUUCACUUUUAGCUGACCAAGUUGUUCCUGUUGAAUAGAAAGCAUCGAGAAAAUGAAGAGAUCUAAAUGCCAGCAGGAGACGAGCUGCAUUCUUCUAGGCAUGUCCUGAGCCUAGUCACCCAGAACAACUUGUGAUCCCUGGACAAAGCCGUUCACAGCAGGUGGCCAUAUCAAGAAAUUUUCCUCCUGGAAUUAGAUAUUAUCCCAGGAAUCACUACUGAGUCAAACAUAAUGCCCCAUCCUGCUGGGUCAAGUAGGAUUCCAUUUCAAUUUCUUUACACAACGAUGCGUUUCAUCUUGUCUGCGUACAAUGACAGUGCUCAGGCAUGAAAUAAAUUGAAGUGCCUGAAAGGCAGAAUUAUCCCUUGAACCUGCAGCAUUCCCAACCCCAAAAACACACAUUGUCAAGUGAGUUCCAGAUAAGCAGGAUCUUCAGCAAGUGUUUGUGCUGCUUGGCUUCCUUUAAUCAUACUCCCUUUUGUAAAACGGAUUUUCGAGGGGAAAGAUAAAUCAUUUCUGAGGAAAAAGGUCAUUUUCAAAAGGCUUAAGAGGUUCAUUUUGUGUGGCUUUCCAAGGUGAAACAGGUAAUUCAGAGUAGUGAAAGUCUUUUGUGAUCAACUUAAUUCAUCCUUCAUAUUACCAAGAAUAAAAACUAUUGAAAUAAGACUGAAUAAACUUCUUUAUAACAAAGUUCCUAAGGAUAGAAAGUGAUGAUUUGUUGUUUGUUAAGAAACUGUCCAAACUCCAGCAAAUGAAAGUUUAGGUUGAGAGCAAGCUUUCCUUCCACCUUCUCUUCAGAAAGCAUAGUGGUUUUUCUGGGCUGUUUGGCACACAUAUUUCAAUAACUUAUCAAUAACACACCUCUGUUUACAGAACAUCAGGCUAGCUUCAGCAUAGCCGUAAAGCCAAAGAGCAUUUUUCUCCAUUGUCACAUUAUGUUUGAGCUCUUUAGAGAUACAGACUUGAGAAAAUUCAAGGAAUAACAUUUCCUUUCUAUUUUACUGAAAACAACCUUUCCAUAGCAGUCAGAUAUUUUGUAAUCUUAUAUUCCACCUGUGAGAAUAGUUUUCUUGAAUUUAUAUGUGGAAGAAAUUGAUACAGAAGAAAUAAGAUAUAUCUUAAUUUUAAUAAGUUAGAGUAUCUUGCAAAUUGUUACCAAAAACAACUACUAGGACAAAAGGAAAGAAAGUAAAAUACAUACAAUGACUUGAUAUUUAAUGCAUAAAUCUUGUAAAAUGUUUCUCUUUUAAUUUUGAUUGAUUUGAUUUAAAUGUGCAUCUUUAGGCAGUCUGGAAGGUCCUUUAGAAUAUACAAUAAUAACUAACUGCAAGUUGUUAUAUAUGUUUAGAAUUCUAUUAAUGUUCUUUUUAUCUAUAUAAUUGAAUAUUCAACAGUGAUCCCAACAUUCAAGUGAAUUUGCCUACCAGCUGAUAAUCGGUUUUAGACUUGCUUUCUUCCACAUUGUAUAAAUUAUUUAACUGUGUAUAUUGUGGCAGUAAGUGCUGUAAUUCUGCAAAGUUACUCUAGCUAAAAGAGUCAGGCACCUAUGAAUGCACAACUUUAGCCACUAACCCCACAGAAUUUACUCAGAGUAGUCUAAGGAAUCUAUAAAAAGAGAAACAGUUGUUACAGGCUAUUUACCUAGAAGAGUCAAUGAAAAAUAAUUCCACUUAUUGAAAAGGAAUAUCA